This is a long non-coding RNA of Calypte anna (Anna's hummingbird), 110 nucleotides long. RefSeq lists it as uncharacterized. NCBI's taxonomy places the organism in Eukaryota, Metazoa, Chordata, Aves, Apodiformes, Trochilidae. The record is from RefSeq and is a predicted model, not a curated record. The transcript has 3 exons.
UCACGUUCCCUAUUAGUGGGUGAACAAUCCAACGCUUGGUGAAUUCUGCUUCACAAAGAUAGGAAGAGCCGACAUCGAAGGAUCAAAAAGCGACGUCUGCACUCCAGUCA